GCAUGCGUAGUUUAACGGUAAAACUUUAGCUUCCCAAGCUAAUGUUGGGGUUUCGACUACCCUCGCAUGCUCCA
RNAcentral lists this transfer RNA (74 nucleotides) under Bacilli bacterium. RNAcentral describes it as "tRNA-Gly". It matches the Rfam family "tRNA". Rfam says of the family: Transfer RNA (tRNA) molecules are approximately 80 nucleotides in length. Lineage: Bacteria; Bacillati; Bacillota; Bacilli. The record is from RNAcentral. RNAcentral also lists the same sequence under 1 other name.